UGGGGAAUAUUGCACAAUGGGCGCAAGCCUGAUGAAGCCAUGCCGCGUGUGUGAAGAAGGCCUUCGGGUUGUAAAGCACUUUCAGCGGGGAGGAAGGCGUUAAGGUUAAUAACCUUGUCGAUUGACGUUACCCGCAGAAGAAGCACCGGCUAACUCCGUGCCAGCAGCCGCGGUAAUACGGAGGGUGCAAGCGUUAAUCGGAAUUACUGGGCGUAAAGCGCACGCAGGCGGUCUGUCAAGUCGGAUGUGAAAUCCCCGGGCUUAACCUGGGAACUGCAUUCGAAACUGGCAGGCUAGAGUCUUGUAGAGGGGGGUAGAAUUCCAGGUGUAGCGGUGAAAUGCGUAGAGAUCUGGAGGAAUACCGGUGGCGAAGGCGGCCCCCUGGACAAAGACUGACGCUCAGGUGCGAAAGCGUGGGGAGCAAACAGG
This 429-nucleotide ribosomal RNA is filed under the name Chloroflexota bacterium. RNAcentral describes it as "Chloroflexi bacterium partial 16S ribosomal RNA". It matches the Rfam family "Bacterial small subunit ribosomal RNA", at positions 355 to 776 of the family's 1533-position model. Lineage: Bacteria; Bacillati; Chloroflexota. The record is from RNAcentral.